Molecule: ribosomal RNA, 468 nt
Filed under: uncultured bacterium
Lineage: Bacteria
Description: partial 16S ribosomal RNA
Rfam family: Bacterial small subunit ribosomal RNA
Source: RNAcentral
GACGAACGCUGGCGGCGUGCUUAACACAUGCAAGUCGAACGGAAAGGCCCUGCUUUUGUGGGGUGCUCGAGUGGCGAACGGGUGAGUAACACGUGAGUAACCUGCCCUUGACUUUGGGAUAACUUCAGGAAACUGGGGCUAAUACCGGCUAGGAGCUCCUGCUGCAUGGUGGGGGUUGGAAAGUUUCGGCGGUUGGGGAUGGACUCGCGGCUUAUCAGCUUGUUGGUUGGGUAGUGGCUUACCAAGGCUUUGACGGGUAGCCGGCCUGAGAGGGUGACCGGCCACAUUGGGACUGAGAUACGGCCCAGACUACUACGGGAGGCAGCAGUGGGGAAGAUUGCACAAUGGGCGGAAGCCUGAUGCAGCAACGCCGCGUGCGGGAUGACGGCCUUCGGGUUGUAAACCGCUUUCGCCUGUGACGAAGCGUGAGUGACGGUAAUGGGUAAAGAAGCACCGGCUAACUACGUG